UGGUCUUGACAUCCCGAGAAGUCCCUUGAAAGAGGGAUGCGCCCCGCAAGGGGAGCUUGGAGACAGGUGCUGCACGGCUGUCGUCAGCUCGUGUCGUGAGAUGUUGGGUUAAGUCCCGCAACGAGCGCAACCCCCGCCGUCAGUUGCCAGCAUUAAGUUGGGCACUCUGACGGGACUGCCGGUGUCAAACCGGAGGAAGGCGGGGAUGACGUCAAGUCAUCAUGGCCUUUAUGACCAGGGCUACACACGUACUACAAUGGCCGGCACAGAGGGCUGCGACAGGGCGACCUGAAGCCAAUCCCUUAAAACCGGUCUCAGUCCGGAUCGGAGUCUGCAACUCGGCUCCGUGAAGUGGAAUCGCUA
Molecule: ribosomal RNA, 363 nt
Filed under: uncultured bacterium
Lineage: Bacteria
Description: bacterial SSU rRNA
Rfam family: Bacterial small subunit ribosomal RNA
Source: RNAcentral